This 421-nucleotide ribosomal RNA is filed under the name uncultured bacterium. RNAcentral describes it as "partial 16S ribosomal RNA". It matches the Rfam family "Bacterial small subunit ribosomal RNA", at positions 360 to 773 of the family's 1533-position model. The record is from RNAcentral.
AAUUUGUGACAAUGGGGGCAACCCUGAUCCAGCCAGCCCGCGUGUGCGAUGAAGGACUUCGGGUUGUAAAGCAUUUUUGGCAGGGAAGAAAAGCCGCGGGUUAAUACCCUGCGGUGCUGACGGUACCUGCAGAAUAAGCACCGGCUAACUACGUGCCAGCAGCCGCGGUAAUACGUAGGGUGCAAGCGUUAAUCGGAAUUACUGGGCGUAAAGCGUGCGCAGGCGGUUCGGCAAGAAGGAUGUGAAAUCCCGGGGCUUAACCUCGGAACUGCAUUCUUAACUGCCGGGCUAGAGUAUGUCAGAGGGGGGUAGAAUUCCGCGUGUAGCAGCGAAAUGCGUAGAGAUGCGGAGGGAUACCGAAGGCGAAGGCAGCCCCCUGGGAUAAUACUGACGCUCAUGCACGAAAGCGUGGGGAGCAAAC